GAGGAGUAGCGAAGUGGCUAAACGCGACGGACUGUAAAUCCGUUCCUUAGGGUUCAGUGGUUCGAAUCCAGCUACCCCA
This 79-nucleotide transfer RNA is filed under the name Enterococcus lacertideformus. RNAcentral describes it as "tRNA-Tyr". It matches the Rfam family "tRNA". Rfam says of the family: Transfer RNA (tRNA) molecules are approximately 80 nucleotides in length. Their secondary structure includes four short double-helical elements and three loops (D, anti-codon, and T loops). The record is from RNAcentral. Lineage: Bacteria; Bacillati; Bacillota; Bacilli; Lactobacillales; Enterococcaceae.